This is a long non-coding RNA of Toxotes jaculatrix (banded archerfish), 849 nucleotides long. RefSeq lists it as uncharacterized. The record is from RefSeq and is a predicted model, not a curated record. The transcript has 2 exons. Lineage: Eukaryota; Metazoa; Chordata; Actinopteri; Toxotidae.
UGCAGCUGCGGACGCACUACUGGACUUUUAACUGUUUGACACAGAAAAGACUCGGAGAAACAAAGACAUGACAUGUUGGUGCAGGAGGGAAUGAAAAGAGAAGAGAGAGAGCAUGGCUGGGAGAAGCAGGAACAGGAGACUGACUGCUGGGUAUGAAUGAAUGAUUGUGGAUCCACUUUAGGAACUUGAGGUCAUCCAGGCACCAGUCUGCAGUAACAACAUCUCCAUCCGCAUAUCUACAGCAAACGUUGUCCUCCAGAGCUGUGGAGUGUGACAAUGGUGUUUGUGUCCUGUGUAUCAAACGCCAUUAUCACACUAAAUAGCUCCAGUGUGAAAAGGACCUCAGUGUAUUCCUCCGUUUCCUCUACUUCCUUUCGUCGCCUGUUUGUCUCGUGGCUCGUGUGUAAUCAUUAUUAAACAUUUUCUUUGUGCAGAUUUAAAACAGUUUCCUUGCACAUACUGCAAAGCCUGAAAAUGUGCGCCCAUGUGUCGAUGGCAGCUAUAACAUGGGGACACAUUACACCAGGCACGGGGGGGACAUGGAUGGAAAUAGACAUGGUGUGUUGAUACAUCGUACAUGAUCUCGAGCCGCUGAGUGUGACCUACAUUCUUGUGCGUUUGAGGUGCUAAUUUGCGGCUGGAGACCUUCUUCGAUAAGUAUAGACAGGAAUAGAUGUCGCAUUUGUUUUCAUGCUCCCGCCAUUUUGUUUCAUUGUCGUCGUUCAAGCUUUGUCAACAUGUACGCAGGCCAUUUAAUUUAAAUGACUGCGAUGCAGAAUUUCAUGCCUGUACAACUGUUUCCAUCCAUCCAAACUGUGUAAAUAAACAGUGUUUGUUUUUUGUCCUUUG